This 253-nucleotide ribosomal RNA is filed under the name uncultured bacterium. RNAcentral describes it as "partial 16S ribosomal RNA". It matches the Rfam family "Bacterial small subunit ribosomal RNA", at positions 524 to 776 of the family's 1533-position model. The record is from RNAcentral.
UACGUAGGGACCGAGCGUUGUCCGGAUUCAUUGGGCGUAAAGAGCUCGUAGGCGGCCACUCAAGUCGAAUGUGAAACCUCGAGGCUUAACCUCGAGCCUGCAUUCGAUACUGGGCGGCUAGAGUCUGGUAGGGGGAUCUGGAAUUCCUGGUGUAGCGGUGGAAUGCGCAGAUAUCAGGAGGAACACCGGUGGCGAAGGCGGGUCUCUGGGCCGAUAUCGACGCUGAGGAGCGAAAGCGUGGGGAGCGAACAGG